Molecule: long non-coding RNA, 343 nt
Organism: Bombus huntii
Lineage: Eukaryota; Metazoa; Arthropoda; Insecta; Hymenoptera; Apidae
Exons: 2
Source: RefSeq, a predicted model, not a curated record
CGCACAAGUCAAGAAUCGUUCGAUCUUCGAGUAAUGGCUAGCGCAAAACGACAUGGACGUGUGUUGACUCGAUUCCCAAUCAAUGUUCACCUAUAUAGAAAACACAUUUAUCACAGAUAUUUGUAAAAAAAAGUAAUAAUGUAACUGUAGACCAGCUUUUAUCUUGAGCAACCAUCGACGUUUGACAUGAUGUCGCGAAGCAUCUCUACAUUCGCGGGCCGAGCACUUGGACACCAUGAGUUGUCUGUGUUGUUUCUGUGGCUUCGUUUGCAUAUUUGUUGGACUUGUAUUUGCCUAAACAUCAAGAAAUUUUACAUAAUAAGAUUACAUAUUCAAAGACCGA